RNAcentral lists this ribosomal RNA (455 nucleotides) under uncultured microorganism. Its description in RNAcentral is "bacterial SSU rRNA". It matches the Rfam family "Bacterial small subunit ribosomal RNA", at positions 9 to 461 of the family's 1533-position model. The record is from RNAcentral.
GAGUUUGAUCUUGGCUCAGAUUGAACGCUGGCGGCAUGCCUUACACAUGCAAGUCGAACGGCAGCAUGAUCUAGCUUGCUAGAUUGAUGGCGAGUGGCGAACGGGUGAGUAAUACAUCGGAACGUGCCCUGUAGUGGGGAUAACUAGUCGAAAGAUUAGCUAAUACCGCAUACGACCUGAGGGUGAAAGUGGGGGACCGCAAGGCCUCAUGCUAUAGGAGCGGCCGAUGUCUGAUUAGCUAGUUGGUGGGGUAAAGGCCCACCAAGGCGACGAUCAGUAGCUGGUCUGAGAGGACGAUCAGCCACACUGGGACAGAGACACGGCCCAGACUCCUACGGGAGGCAGCAGUGGGGAAUUUUGGACAAUGGGCGAAAGCCUGAUCCAGCAAUGCCGCGUGUGUGAAGAAGGCCUCGGUUGUAAGUACGACUUUGUUCCGGUAACGAAAGUAGGACGUC